RNAcentral lists this ribosomal RNA (1065 nucleotides) under Triticum aestivum (bread wheat). RNAcentral's name for it is "partial small subunit ribosomal RNA". The record is from RNAcentral. Lineage: Eukaryota; Viridiplantae; Streptophyta; Magnoliopsida; Poales; Poaceae.
GAAGGGACGCACAAGCAAAUUGUGUUAGAUUAUGACCGGAAACGUAAGAAGACAUCAGAAAGGAUUGGCUGCAAGGCAAAAAUUAGAGUCAAAAAGAGGAAGGAUGGAAAAUUUGUGAUAGAAAUGGUUGAACUCAACCACAAUCACAAGAUGCUGGAAAAGACCCGGGAUGCUUUUGCACAAAAAGACGAUCAUUUGAUUCACCAGUUGGUGAAAGACAUGCAACUGGACAACCACACACAUGCACAGAUGAUGUCAACACUGUCGCGUAUGUCCGGUGGUGUGCAGUACAUGGGACAUACUAGCCGCGACUGAGUAAACAAGAAACCGAAGUUUGCCAGAGAAGAGUCCCAAGAUGACGUCAAGAAACUUCUAGAUUUCUUCUAGAAGAUGUAGAAGAUAAAUCCAGAGUUCUUCUAUGAUUAUGAUGUCAACGCAAGUUGCAAAUGAUCGUAUGAAGAUUUUGGAGACUGCGUUACAUUUGACACGACAUAUAAAACUAACAAAUUCCACAUGCCGUUGGGAGUCAUCAUGGGAGUGAACCAUCAUCUAUAGAGCACCGUAUUUGCUAUCACCCUCAUGCAAGAUGAAACAAUACCAUUGUUCGAGUGGGUUUUCAAAACAUUCCUGAGUUGUAUGAACAACAAUCCACCAAUCUGCAUGCUGACAGACCAAUGUUCUUCGAUGAAGGCAGCAUUAAAAACUACUCUCCGAGAUGCAUUGCAUAAGUUUUGUCGGUGGCAUAUCAUGAAGAAGUACAAAGACCACCUCGCCUUACUCUAUAAGGCGCAUGAGAAACUCAAGGAUGACCUCAAUGCAGUGCUGAACUACCCCCUAAUGCCGUUAGAAUUUGAACGGGCAUGGAAACUCAUGCAGAAAUACAACUUGCAAAACGACGACGUGAUGAAUUGGCUGUGGGAUGACAUGCACGAGUGGUUCUCGGCUUACUACAAGGAAACUUUCUAUGCUCGGAUGACUUCCAUGCAGGGAAGCGAGAGCAUGAACCACAUAUUGAAGAAAAACUUCAUCAAAGAGAAGCAUGAUCUUGAUCUGUUUGCUCAGUAG